GACGAACGCUGGCGGCGUGCUUAACACAUGCAAGUCGAACGGACAGGCCCUGCUUUUGUGGGGUGCUCGAGUGGCGAACGGGUGAGUAACACGUGAGUAACCUGCCCUUGACUUUGGGAUAACUUCAGGAAACUGGGGCUAAUACCGGAUAGGAGCUCCUGCUGCAUGGGGGGGGUUGGAAAGUUUCGGCGGUUGGGGAUGGAAUCGCGGCUUACCAGCUUGUUGGUGGGGUAGUGGCUUACCAAGGCUUUGACGGGUAGGCGGCCUGGGCGGGUGGCCGGCGACAUUGGGACUGAGAUACGGCCCAGACUCCUACGGGAGGCAGCAGUGGGGAAUAUUGCACAAUGGGCGGAAGCCUGAUGCAGCAACGCCGCGUGCGGGAUGACGGCCUUCGGGUUGUAAACCGCUUUCGCCUGUGACGAAGCGUGAGUGACGGUAAUGGGUAAAGAAGCACCGGCUAACUACGUG
Molecule: ribosomal RNA, 468 nt
Filed under: uncultured bacterium
Lineage: Bacteria
Description: partial 16S ribosomal RNA
Rfam family: Bacterial small subunit ribosomal RNA
Source: RNAcentral